CCGGGCGCGCCUGACACUAAUAGCUCGCGGCUCAGGUACGAGCGGGCGCCGCGUUUGACUCCAUUCAAUUCACAACCGGCCGCGCUUGCAGGUGUCGCCUUUUGAAACUGCCAUUCAGGCAGCCGCUGUUCACUUCUCGCUGCGCUGCGGGUUUUGUGGAAGCGCAAGAAUGGCGCUGAUUAUUCCCGUGCCCACGGGCUGCCCCCACCCCCGCCGGACGCGAGCCUUCCCUCCGCCAAAAGAGAAGUUUAAUUAGUUCUGGGGCCGCCGACAGCCAGCGCGGCCGACAAAGCCCGGCUCCCCAGGUAACCCCGGGGUUCCUGCGGCCCCGGGAGGGGGCGCCCCGCGCCUGAGCACUGGCCUCUGGCCGUGCGCUGCCUCCCGCGCCGCCGCCGUCCGCCCACCUGCCCCCCGGGCCGGCUCUCCAGCUGGCCGAAGGCUCGCUCGGUGGACUUGAGUAGCCUUGGCCAGCGGCGCCCGCGGAUUCCGGACGCGAGCAGUUUUAGGGCGCCUGCGAUGUCUUCUCGCCUCUCUGUCCCCAUUACCAGCCGGGGAGAUGGAAACUUGGUUGGCAAGUCAGGUGGUCCUAACUGUCUUGCGAGGGGGUGUCCUCUCCAUGACAUGUCAUCCCCUCACCCCAUUUCGGGGAAAUAUCGGGACGAUGUUUUGAGGAAACACCAGAGACACUUUCCCCUUUAUCCACCUUUGCGUCUCAGCGCCACGUGCGCUAAAAGGGCGCAAAGUUGCCCUGGGAGAUGGCGAAUGGCUGCCUCGCCUCCACGGCCAGUGACCUUCGCAGCAGCGCCUCCGGCGCCCGAGCUGGCCCCGAAUACGCAGGUCUGCGGACAGCCUCGGCCUGGGUCGCAUACUCUAGUUCACCGGAGCCACAGGGAGGACAUGUGCCAAGGAGUGUCCAGCAUUGUGGAGCCACACGAAGGCGGGGCAAACGAUGGAGAACCUGGAGCCCCAGCCUUUAUGGCUGCUUUGCCGAGAAUCAAUUCUGGGCAGGAGACAGGGAUCUAGGCUCCAACCCUCCAGUCAUGGUUCUGAAAAGCCAAGGGUAGGCUCUAGAAAUGUUUUCUGGGAAAGCAAGGAGCAAAUAUUCAGAUCGGUGACCCCUGAGACAGACAGAGAGCUGAGAGAGACAGAGACGAUGGACACAAGGGCAGACAGACACAGCAAUGCCCCCAGCCCUUGCCAGACAUUCUCCUGAAACCGAGAAGCUUAAAGAUGGCCUGAGGCUUCUGGCAGCCCCAAAGGCAGUGUGGUAGGAGCCUUCUGGGCCUAGGAGGACAGGUGCCUCUGAGAGACUUGAAAACAAUCUCAAGGCUUCACCAGGAUCUGACGCUAAAAAAAAAGUCAAGCACCUCGCCACUGUCCAACCUUAGGGGCCAGAUGUUGUUUCAUACUGAGGCAGGAACAAGGUUAGUCUCUCUUGAGGACAGAGGAUAGAGCAGAGAAGAUUCGGGCUUAGCAGACGGUGGAGAAACUUUUGGCUCUGGGACCAGCCCUGUCCCUCUGCCCUAAAGUAUCUGAAACCUGUGUUCUUGUUUGAUUCCACACUCCCCCACUGCCUAGAGGACCCGGG
This 1588-nucleotide long non-coding RNA is filed under the name Capra hircus (goat). Its description in RNAcentral is "lncRNA (ENSCHIG00000001891.1)". Lineage: Eukaryota; Metazoa; Chordata; Mammalia; Artiodactyla; Bovidae. The record is from RNAcentral.